Long non-coding RNA from Egretta garzetta (little egret), 239 nucleotides. RefSeq lists it as uncharacterized. Lineage: Eukaryota; Metazoa; Chordata; Aves; Pelecaniformes; Ardeidae. The record is from RefSeq and is a predicted model, not a curated record. The transcript has 4 exons.
GCAGCUUUUCCUGGAUGACACCAAAGUCAAGAACUUCAUCACCUGCUUCAAAGGCCGACGUGGAGGCGGCUCCGGAGGCCACCAGACGGCUCUACAAGGAAUACAGGAUGCUCAAGCAGCGGAGCGAGGAGCCGGAUCCUUCCCACCUCAGCCCCCCGGCCCAGGAGACCCCAACCCCUGAGCAGGUGCCGGACUCCGGUUGUUGGGGCGCACACCUGAACCGGCAGCCGAAAAACCCC